CACGUAGGCACCAAGCGUUGUCCGGAUUUAUUGGGCGUAAAGAGCUCGUAGGCGGCUCGUUGCGUCGGCUGUGAAAACCCGCAGCUCAACUGUGGGCUUGCAGCCGAUACGGGCGGGCUAGGAUUCGGUAGGGGAGACUGGAAUUCCUGGUGUAGCGGUGAAAUGCGCAGAUAUCAGGAGGAAUACCGAUGGCGAAGGCAGGUCUCUGGGCUAACACUGACGCUCAUGCACGAAAGCGUGGGGAGCAAACGGG
RNAcentral lists this ribosomal RNA (253 nucleotides) under uncultured bacterium. RNAcentral describes it as "partial 16S ribosomal RNA". It matches the Rfam family "Bacterial small subunit ribosomal RNA", at positions 524 to 776 of the family's 1533-position model. The record is from RNAcentral.